UAGCGAUAGGGAGGGAUGCGCACUUGGGUCUUGGCACUGGUACUGGGAGGGAUGAAGGUGAGGAAGGGGAGAGGGUUGGUUAGGUAUAUAGUGUGGGUGGUAGGAAAUGCAGGUUGAAGGGAAAUUCUCUGGGGCUUUGGGGAGUUUUGUGCGGUGGGUGAGCCAAGAAAAUACUAAUUAAUAAUAGUAAGUGUUGGUUAAGUUGUUGCUUGGAAGUGAAAAGUUGCUUAGAAAGGUUAGAACUUUAAGUGCAAAGAAAAGAAAAAAACCCAAAACAAUUGUUUUCCUUUGCUGCAAGGUGGGGAAGACUGAAAAAGUGUAACCGAAAACAGAUGACACAGAGUCACCCGUUUUCCUAGAACCCACAGGGAGGGGUGUAUGAUGCCAUCUCACAGGCAGGGCAAGUGUCUUUACCAGCUUCCUCCCGGUGACCAAGGCAGCCUGUUUUAGAGGGUUGUUUUGUUUGGGGUGUGGGUGUUAUCAAGUGAAGAAAGAUGAGUGUCAGACUUGUAGACACAGCAGAUCGGCAUCCUUCGCUGCCCCUUAGCAACUUGGGUGGUCAAUCUGAAGCUGUGAAGGUGUGAUUUUUCAGGAGCUGGAAGUCUUAGAAAAACCUUGUAAAUGCCUACAUUGUGGGCUUUUGACAUAUUUAAGGGACUGCUUAAGACGAGAUUAGAUGGGCUUCUCUGGAUUUGUAACUCAUUUGUCACAGAUACCUUGUGAUUGAAAAUCGUGAGUGAAGUGAAAUUGCAGUGCAUUUCAAGGGAAUUUUGUAUGUAAAUCGUGCCUUAGAAACACUUCUGUUGUCUUUUCUGUGUUUGGUCGAUAUUAAUAAUGGCAAAAUUUUUACCUACCUAGUAUCUUCAAAUCGUAGUCUUUGUAACAAGAACCAAAUAACCUUUUGUGGUCACUGUAAAAUUAAUACUUGGUAGCAGACAGAAUCCAUGUACCUUUGCUAAGGUUAGAAUGAAUAAUUUAUUGUAGUUUUAGUUUGAAUGUUUGUGCUUUAUAAAUGAUCCAAGGCUAGAGGGGAAACUAUCACUUAAAAUCCAUGUGGAAAACAAGAGCUAAAAAGGAAAGGGGAUGGGGAUUGUGGGGAGGGAGUGGGUGAGGUGCCUUUACUACAUGUGUGAUCUGAAAAACCUGCUUGGUAAUAAGCUGCGGUAUUGAAUUGGUAAAGUAAUACCAAUGGCCUUUUAUCAUUUCUUUCUUCCCUUUAAAUUUCACUUAAAAUUUUUAAAAUCAUGGUUAUUUUUAUCCUUGGGAUCUUUCUGUCUUCUGGGUUCCGUUUUUUAAAUGUUUAAAAAUAUGUUGACAUGGUAGUUCAGUUCUUAACCAGUGACUUGGGGAUGAUGCAAACAUCCUGUUGUUGGGAUUUAGAGUGUAUUACUCAUGCAUGUAUGGGAAAUAGUCUCCGGUAUGCUGUUGUGAAAUUGAAACUGUAAAAGUAGAUGGUUAAAAGUACUGGUGUGUUGCUCUGUAUGGUAAGAACUAAUUCUGUUACGUCAUGUACGUAAUUACUAAUCAUUUUUCUUCCACUUUACAGCACAAAUAAAGGUUUGAGUUCUAAACUCAUGAGAAUUGUUGUAUUGCUAUGUUACAUUUCUCGACCCCUAUCACAUUGCCUUCAUAAGGAAGUUGUGGAUGUAUCUUCAUAUUGUAGAUUUAGGUCUAGAUUUGCUAGCUCCAAGUAAUUAAGGCCAUGUAGGAGAGCAUGGUAACCACAGAUAAAACUGCUAUUAUCCCAAGUGGUCUGCAGACUGCUGGGUGGGGAGGGUAUCUCUUGGGAGUUGGUAAUGAUUUGUUUGAAAUGUGAUGAACCACUCAAGCCAGUGAAGGUGGGUGUGUGUAGGUGGGGAGUACUUUGCCAUAAUAUUUUAAAACAUUACCUGGUUAGAGUUCUAAGUGGUACUUAUUUUUGUUUGGUUAGGGGAAAGUCUGAAUAAAAACAGAAAUGGACACAUAAUAUGUAUAUUCCAUAGUCUUUGGGAGGCUGGAAUGUGUCUGGGAUUUGGGUCUAAGUAUAUGUGUAAUUCUUAUCUCACUAAAGAAUUUGGCUUUUUUCUUUUGUUGAGUGACUAAAACGUCUGGGCUUCCCUGUGUGUGCGCUACACUAAGCAAGCAGAGGCUGUGCAAAGGUGUGAGCAGAAGCACAUGGAAUCUGGAGGGUACAUCUUGGCUUGCAAACUGCCUCUGUGUCCUGGGUGGGACUGUUCUGUCCUUGCACUGCUGUUCGGUGUUACCUCUUGGGGUGUAAGGUUUAUGCUUACAGGAGACAAACAUUGGGCAUAAAAUGGAAGCCACUGCCAGCCUCUGUGCUGAGAAGGAAGGUGCUUGUUUCAAAGGGAGCAGCAAGGGAGGCUUGUUCUACUCAUCUGGGCCUGUUGGCCUGAGAAGGGGAGAUAAGGGCUGAACUGGGACUAGCCAGGGGGACCAACACAAAUGGUGGGGGAUCAUGACCUGAAGGAUUCUUUCCUUCUCAUGAGCUGCGGGACUGGCUGCCGUCCUUACAACUGUGUCUUAUUUGCCUGUGCCGUUGUAUCUGGGUGACCCCUCCACGUGUACACUACUGACAAAUGGGUUGAGUGCUGGAAAGAAGUCACUGAGCCACCCACCCAGUAAACCUGUCUGUGCUCAUGGCACCGCCAGAAUGGGGCACUGCUGUGUGCAGGGUCCAGGGCCCUCUUCCUGCUUGCCACUCCUUUCCCUGGAUGCCCCAGAAACAAUCCAGGCCUCCUUUCCUAUCUUACCCUUUUGCUUUGCUUUUACCCCAGCACCUCUAUAACCACCCUGUCUUCUUUUCAGAGCUCCUUGUUUCUCCUCUUGUUUUUUAUGAUUAUUACAAAACUUGCUUCCACCCUGGAAGAUAACUGCUAUAGAUGCCUCUGUGUAAAUGGCCGGGCGCGGUGGCUCAAGCCUGUAAUCCCAGCACUUUGGGAGGCUGAGACGGGCGGAUCAUGAGGUCAGGAGAUCAAGACCAUCCUGGCUAACACAGUGAAACCGCGUCUCUGCUAAAAAAUACAAAAAACUAGCCGGGCGAGGUGGCGGAGCCUGUGGUCCCAGCUACUCGGGAGGCUGAGGCAGGAGAAUGGCAUGAACCGGGGAGGCGGAGCUUGCAGUGAGCUGAGAUCCGGCCACUGCACUCCAGCCUGGGCGACAGAGCGAGACUCUGUCUCAAAAAAAAAAAAAAAA
Molecule: long non-coding RNA, 3192 nt
Filed under: Macaca fascicularis (crab-eating macaque)
Lineage: Eukaryota; Metazoa; Chordata; Mammalia; Primates; Cercopithecidae
Description: lncRNA (ENSMFAG00000052452.1)
Source: RNAcentral